RNAcentral lists this transfer RNA (72 nucleotides) under Ovis aries (sheep). It matches the Rfam family "tRNA". Rfam says of the family: Transfer RNA (tRNA) molecules are approximately 80 nucleotides in length. Their secondary structure includes four short double-helical elements and three loops (D, anti-codon, and T loops). Further hydrogen bonds mediate the characteristic L-shaped molecular structure. tRNAs have two regions of fundamental functional importance: the anti-codon, which is responsible for specific mRNA codon recognition, and the 3' end, to which the tRNAs corresponding amino acid is attached (by aminoacyl-tRNA synthetases). tRNAs cope with the degeneracy of the genetic code in two manners: having more than one tRNA (with a specific anti-codon) for a particular amino acid; and 'wobble' base-pairing, i.e. permitting non-standard base-pairing at the 3rd anti-codon position. The record is from Rfam by way of RNAcentral. Lineage: Eukaryota; Metazoa; Chordata; Mammalia; Artiodactyla; Bovidae.
UCCCUUGUAGCUCAGUUGGUAAAGAGUCUGCCUGCAAUGCAGGAGACCCAGGUUCGAUUCCUGGGUGGGGAA